Molecule: long non-coding RNA, 1355 nt
Organism: Ceratina calcarata
Lineage: Eukaryota; Metazoa; Arthropoda; Insecta; Hymenoptera; Apidae
Exons: 2
Source: RefSeq, a predicted model, not a curated record
UUCUCACCUCUGCCAUACUCUUCUUCCACAAGUCGUUUGAAGAGUUAAUGACCAUUAAUGGAGUUUAAUGCAAUCCAGGAAACAAAAUUCUGCGAGGAGCGUCUCGGAGAGCAGGUGUCCGUGGGAAUACACGCAGCCCUCGCACUUUCAGAGACGUUAUGCUUUCACGCAAUAGCGCAAACACCGACGGCUGCCUCUCCCAACCUUAUGGAAAUUUAAUGCAAUUAAUUAGCCUUGCGCGUACGUCUGCUUCGCCGUUUACGCGUUUUACUUGUUCUCAUACCAGCAUGCAACAAGUCGCUAUCUGCCUUCGUACAAUAUCCGCGUAGCGGGUAUUAUAAUUCUAUUUCAGAACAUGCGCAUAUGUCAAAUCGAGCUUGAACGACCAGACAUCUGAAUUUAUGUACGAUCGAUCUAGCAUGUGACAUACUGUCAAACGUUUAGAUGGAUUUUUUUCUUGAACCUCGCGAGAUUAUGCCAUUACAAAAGUUUAUCCUCCUCGCGGUUGUUCCCCCUUGAUGAAUUUUUGAUCAACGCAAGCGCGGUCGCAACAGGUUGCUUUCUGAGGCCGGGUAGUCUUUAGUCCAGGCAUCGCAUAAUUUUCCCCUCGGCCGGAAAGUGGAGCCGACGCAACCAUGGUGGGAUCUGGUACUUGAUGAGGAUAUGCUAGGCAUGGUCAGCGAAGGCGCAUGAGGGGAAUAGUAGUGGGGAUCGAAAUACGGGCGGAAAGGAGGGGAAGCGAGCCGUGAGGGAAAAAUUAUGCGCACCCUGCUUUAGUCUGCUCUCGAAGACUGCGUGGUGAACAUCGCGACCCUCUAACUUACAAUUAGCGUCAAAUAAAAAGGUAUUAUUAAUGGUUGAAGAUCGCAUGACACGAUCCGUGAUUGUGCUGCACGUAAAUCGCAACUUUCGGGUCACAUUAGAAUAAACGUGACGUCUGUAAUACGUACUGGUUGUACAGGCACAUGUUACUAGGAUUGUUCUGAGGUAUAGUAUUGCCAUUCAGUAGGAACAGCUGCUCUUUAUAGGUCCCCUGCAUGAGGAAUAAUAACGGUGUCUGCGCUGUCAGGAAAAUUAUAUGAAAACGUGUGUUGUCUACUGCAGCAUUCUAUUCGGAAACUUGUAUCAUAAAUGCGACGCGUCGAUUUAUCUUGCAGAAAUUGUACACACUUUACUUUUAAUAGCUUCUUGCACGUUGCACUUACUCUAUAAGUAUGUUACGUUAUACGUGUGCAAUAGUAAUAUGACGCAACGAACGCAUUGCAAUCGAUAUAAUACGCUGUUAACGUUAUUUAUUUUUCUAACAAUUACAGGAUGAAUAGUAUUUACUAUUUAAUAAAUUCAAUAAUAAUUAA